AAAGGAGGAGAAACAUAAAUACAGUUCGAUCAAUAACACACAUAAAUUGGCAUCUUCGUCGAGACAAUUUUGAAAUCCAUUGCAUCCACGGGAGUAUACCUCUGCAGAGGAAGAGAAAGUUGGAGAGCUACAAAAAGUUAGAAAAAAGGGAAAAUAUACCUACUUCAGCGAGCUGAUAAAGAGAAGAGUGCAAGGCAUCAUGAGAUUUGCACAAAUGAUCUACAGAGCGAGGAGACGAAAAGUAAGUCAAUUUCAGACCUAUUCUAGGAGAAAACAUGUUGAUGAAAG
RNAcentral lists this unclassified non-coding RNA (288 nucleotides) under Hevea brasiliensis (rubber tree). Lineage: Eukaryota; Viridiplantae; Streptophyta; Magnoliopsida; Malpighiales; Euphorbiaceae. The record is from RNAcentral.